UGUUCUGUGGCUUAGUUGGCUAAAGCGCCGGUCUGACGAAUAGAGAGUCGUGGGUUCAAAUACCAUUAGAACUC
Molecule: non-coding RNA, 74 nt
Organism: Aedes albopictus (Asian tiger mosquito)
Lineage: Eukaryota; Metazoa; Arthropoda; Insecta; Diptera; Culicidae
Source: Rfam